UACUUCUUUAUAGUAUAUGUGUGAAUAACUUUGAUUUAAAAAUUAGCUCUUUCCCAUCUUGCAGGAUGGCCAGUGAGAAAUCUGAGAAGCUGGAUACUAAGGAAAGAGAAACUUGAAGCCAAGAAGACUGAUGCUGGUGGCAAGAAUGAGAGCAGGCAAGAUGCAAAGCAGAGAGAUAAAUACACCUGGUCGUAUCAUAAAGGAAUUCUAUGCUCUGGAGGUAAGACACUGGUAAGACAAACAUAGCAAGAGAGAGA
RNAcentral lists this long non-coding RNA (257 nucleotides) under Mustela putorius furo (domestic ferret). RNAcentral's name for it is "lncRNA (ENSMPUG00000029757.1)". The record is from RNAcentral. Lineage: Eukaryota; Metazoa; Chordata; Mammalia; Carnivora; Mustelidae.